GACGAACGCUGGCGGCGUGCUUAACACAUGCAAGUCGAACGGAAAGGCCCUGCUUUUGUGGGGUGCUCGAGUGGCGAACGGGUGAGUAACACGUGAGUAACCUGCCCUUGACUUUGGGAUAACUUCAGGAAACUGGGGCUAAUACCGGAUAGGAGCUCCUGCUGCAUGGUGGGGGUUGGAAAGUUUCGGCGGUUGGGGAUGGACUCGCGGCUUAUCAGCUUGUUGGUGGGGUAGUGGCUUACCAAGGCUUUGACGGGUAGCCGGCCUGAGAGGGUGACCGGCCACAUUGGGCCUGCGAUACGGCCCAGACUCCUACGGGAGGCAGCAGUGGGGAGUAUUGCACAAUGGGCGGAAGCCUGAUGCAGCAACGCCGCGUGCGGGAUGACGGCCUUCGGGUUGUAAACCGCUUUCGCCUGUGACGAGGCGUGAGUGACGGUAAUGGGUAAAGAAGCACCGGCUAACUACGUG
Molecule: ribosomal RNA, 468 nt
Filed under: uncultured bacterium
Lineage: Bacteria
Description: partial 16S ribosomal RNA
Rfam family: Bacterial small subunit ribosomal RNA
Source: RNAcentral